GGCACAUUGAGAGGUGGGAGAUUCCAUGAAUUCCAGGUCUGAAGCUUUCAGGUCAAUUUUGGUAAGACAGCCAGGAGAUUCUCCGAUCAAGGACCAGAUCAUCCCAGCAUUGGACAUCCUGUGUGCACUGGAAUCUUUUCUCUGGGGAUCUCCUCUUCUGGGUUAUCCAGGACCUGAUGGACAUGACCCUGUGCAGCAGACUAAAGUAGGAGGGGGUUGAAGUCCCUCUGAAUGCCAGCUUUAGGGUUGUGGGCUAGAGUCCCACUAAGGAACAGGUCUGAGAUGCGUACCAGCACAAUGGGUCUGGCUGUCUGUCUCAGUCAUCUGCUGUAACAUGAUCACCAUGCUUUCAUCAGCGGUUCCCAAGACAGGAUAAGACAUACUUUGCUUGUGUCAUGGUUUUAUGAUUUUUAGUUACUCGUAUUCCACAUCAUAACAUCAUGUAGUGCACUGGGAGUUAAAGCGUUAAUGCUCCAGUUCCGGGCACCUGUCCGGAAGAGAAGAAGAACUACAUACCCCAGGGGGCUUUGCGGUCAGAGAGGAGAUAUAACCUCUGGCAAAGUCACCUGAUGUUCCCUUUUUUUCUCGGCUCUCAUCCCAACUGCACGCAUCGCCUCAGCACUACUGUAAGACCUACAGCUUUCAGCUACUCUUUCUCUCAAUAUAUUUGAUUUAUUAGCUUCAAUUCUGAUUGUAUUGUAUUGUAGUAUGUUAUCUUGCAUUCUGAUACUGUAUUUAGUAAAUUAGUUUGUUUCUCCUCAGACCGUUGCUGCUGUUUUUAAUUACUUUGGGGUCCCCUGUUUCCCUUAUCUGGAGGCGCGGAUUUUUGCAAAAUCCUUCCACCCUACUAGUCACGGAACUGGGCCAAACCAGCCCAUACACCAUUGACAGCUUGUCAACUACGUCACUAGGGAACCAUAAGAAUUGGAAUUACUGGGAUCAUUUAAAAUGGACUCUUGUUUGUAGUUUAACUAUAGUGGAAAGAGUUCAGUGUGUUAAUUUUAGUUUAGCUGCUUAUAGGAAUGUUUCUGAACCGCAUCUUUUCUUAUUAAUAGAGAAGGGGGAAAUGUGAGACAAAGAAAGUCAUUAUGAACAAAAGACCUAGCAAAUGAGUAAACAAGCUCAGCAAGUACUUGCGCCAGAUGUAAACACACACGAUGUGCCUGGCUCCUACAUGUGACCACGGGGUUGUUGCAUGGGUAUAAAAGGUUGUAAGCACAUACAAUAAACGUCUGUGUUCUGCAUCAGUAAGGGAGCCUUUGCCUCUCUUUCCGCAGAUACCUGUACAUUUAUCUUUUGCAACACACAAGGUAAAGAGACCAUUAAAAAAAAAAAAAAAAAAUAAAAGCUUGCAACAA
Molecule: long non-coding RNA, 1358 nt
Organism: Gallus gallus (chicken)
Lineage: Eukaryota; Metazoa; Chordata; Aves; Galliformes; Phasianidae
Exons: 3
Source: RefSeq, a predicted model, not a curated record